RNAcentral lists this long non-coding RNA (43459 nucleotides) under Citrus x clementina. RNAcentral describes it as "Citrus clementina (C. clementina) long non-coding RNA (CCLE_LNC003409)". The record is from RNAcentral. Lineage: Eukaryota; Viridiplantae; Streptophyta; Magnoliopsida; Sapindales; Rutaceae.
ACAAAUAAACGGAGGUCAAAUUUGGAUUCUGGAGGUCCGAAAACUUUAAGAUCAGUCAAGAUCGACUUAAAAUUGAGCUUGUGUAAAAAGAGUUGACUUUUUUGCUUGACCGAGCACUGAUUGGAUGAUGAAAUGAGCUUACAAUAGAUUUGAGUGCAUGGGAUAGCAGACAAUUUUGACGAAAUCUCAACCGUUCAUGAUUCAAUGGCCAUGAUUGUGCCACGUGGCAAUGGUUGGUGAAGCAAGUUGUAGGAUCCGAAUCUUUGUAUUCGGGUCGACCCAAUCCAUCCAUUAACCCGCCAAAUCUCAACUAUUCUUUGGCCAAAUUGAUCAAGUCAAACAAUGCCACGUGUGAUGUUGACUUUUGAAGUUUGACUAGCCGUUGGAUCUUGAUCUAUUGGUUGUGAGGAGCGCAUGCAUGAAACUUAUGAUGGAUGGUAAAACACUGGAUUAUGAAUUUAUUUUUCUAUAAAUUGAGGCUCAUUUUUAUGUUUUUAAUGAUCUCUCUACAUCUCUCUUCUUCUCAAAUUCUCUCCAUCUUCCUGUAAUCUUGAUUUUCAGGUGUGUUUUUAAUAUUUUGUAUAAUUAUUUUAUAAAUAAAUUUAGUUUUAUUUUCAAUUUUAGUUGUUUUUAUUACGUAUUUCUUUUAUCAUCUUGCAACUAUCCAUGCCGCCAUAGUAAUUAAAAACUAACAUAUGUGAAUUAUUAAUUAGAGCCAACUUUGAAUUGUGAGAACACGAACUUUAUCAAUCAGAUGAAAUUUGUAUCUUGUUACUUUAAUUUUUUUUUUCCUUUCAAUUGAACUACAUAUUCGAUGUAGAGUUUUUAUAUUGAUUACUCAUUAAGUUUUUUAGUUUCUAAGUUUCCAAUCUCUUCUCGUAUUUGGGGAAAUAAAAUUUCUCAGUAGUAAAAUGAAUAUACUUUUGUGGUAUUCCAUUUAGAGCUCAUGUGUCAACGUCUAAAGCAAAUAUAUAUAUGUUGAGCUCUUUUGGAAUGACUUGAACACUUCAACAAGACCAGCAUCUUUAGUGCUAUCCAUGAUAUAGAAUAAUAUAGCAAUUAUAUGCUAAUUUAAAAUUAAAAAUCAAUAUUUACCAACAAGCUGUAAGUUACUUGCUAUAUUUCAAUUAAUUAAACUAUAUGAGAUUACCACUCUCUAAUAUUCAUUGAUAUUUUUUAUUAUCUGUGCUCUUACGACUAAUGAGUUACUUAAUCUUUUAAAAGCUUAUAGUCCAGAGCCAAAUCUCAAGACUUUUGUGUUGGAUUGGUCAAUUGAUGAUGGUAGUAGUAGUAAGAAGUACAAAUUAGAUCUAACUCUCCGUUUUUAAAUAUUUUCUAUUACUGUGUUCAGGUGAUGUCUUCUAAACUCUACUUUUUCCUUCAAGAUAUUGCAGAUAAUGUCUCAUUGAUGUUAAGAGGGGGGAAUAAUUGAUAAUUGUGCAAUAAAUAAUAGUUGUGUUCUUGUAUCCUUACUAACUUUUUCUAAAAGAUCAUGAUAGUACAGAAUCAAUAAGUAUAGAUAGUAACCUUUAAGAGUCGAUGAUUCGCAUGAUCAUCGCAAUCUUUACAAAUACAAGCUCGACAUUCCAAACAAAAAAGGUUCUUAUGUUUUCGAUUAUGACCUUGCUCUUCACAAUGCUCGUCGAAUCUUCCUUUAAGAAGAGCGGUUAGCCAACGAGGUACAAUAAGAACAUUGUCCUGAAAAACAUGGAAUAUAUUAAUACAGUUAAAAUUAAUCUAAAUUAUAAGAAACAACUAAAGAUAUAAAAAUAAAAGCCAACCAUUGUUUUCUUGGUAGGGAUUCUAGCAAGAGAAUAAGGGAUUCUAGCAAGAGAAUAACUUUUGCAAGAGGAGAGGCGUGCUAGCUAGCUGGCUAGAAAGAGGAUAAUUGCAAUGAAUCAAAUAGAGAAGAAAUUCGAACUAUUUAAAGAGAUGAAUGUGCCGUAUUUAUGUCGUGUUUGUGUGACUUAAUAGGUCGUAUUAUGUUGCAAAAAGGGAAAGAACGAAAAGGGGACAAAUAUAUAUUGCAAAAACGGGAAAACAAGGAAAAGGGGGGAAAAAGAUUGCACGUUCAGAAGGUGACGCCCCUUAUGGUUAAAUUCUUAUAUAUUUUGCAUGUUAAUUAAAUAUAGGAGUAAUAAUGGCAUUUAAUCCCUUUUAAGUUUGAAAAGUACAAUAAUUAUAUUAGAAAUAGAUUUUGCUUUGGGGAUGUUAUAAUUAAUGAAAUAGGUUUUGUUAACAAAAAUAGUUUCUAGUUUUAGCAACUAUAAAAUGGAAAAGUCCUUAUUCAAGUUGUGCUUGUGUCUUAAUUAACGCAACACUAUUUUGUUGCCUACUCUGAUCUAGUGUUAGAUCAGGAAACGAGAAAGAAAAGAAAAGGAACAAAAGUAGAAAAUAGAAAAUAUAAGUUAUUGGGGAAAAAAUAUAUAUAUAAGCACAAGUUGGUUUGGAUUAACUAAUUUUCGAGAUCUAUAUGUAAUUAAUUAAAUGGCUUUUACACAUUACUCAGCCUAUUAAAAAAAACUAAGAAGAUAAAGCAGAUAUAAAUCUUUUAAUUAACUUGUGUUAUAGACCAUGUGGAAUUGUUUGUGCCAGAAAGAUAUCGAAAGAAAACAUCCCUCUAUGAUGCCGUAAUUUUUUUACCGCAUUAAUAAUGUAAGAACUAUGUAUCAUUAGAUCUUAUCAACAGUACACAUUAUUUUUAUUAAUUAAAAAAUUUAUUUAUUUUUAAAAUAUUAUAACUGGUUAACAAACCAAUUGAAAAGGUGAUUUUAAAUUUAAAAAGUAAAGAAAAUAAAGAUAUGAUAAAAUACAAUCUCUUUAUUUAUCUCAUUGAAUUUAUUGUCGGUUUUAUAUCUCACAUUUGAAAUAUGAUUCUUAAAGAUUGUCUCUACUCCUGAAUGAUUAGACAAAAGAGAUUCGAUAAGCUAUUCUUAUUCCAUAGCACUUUAGUGCCAAAUAAUUUGAAUUGCUUUUGUUAUUCUAAUUGAUUUGAUAGUGAAUACUGUUACGGAAGCGUGAGAUUGAGCAAUUACCAAUAUUUUAGUGACUGUAACUUCUGGAGAAAUAUAAAUGUGGUGUAAACAAAUGCAGAGAAAAUAGGACACAAUAAUUUUUACGUGUUUCGGCGUAAAAUCUACGUCCAUGGGCAAAGACUGGAAGAUAAUUUUACUAAUAAUGAGACUUUACAAAAGUGAAAAAACUCUAAAAAAAAAAAAAUACUCAAUACACCCAACACUACAACAAAACUGGCAAUAGAUGACUGCAAAAAUCUAUCAUAAAGGGGGGUGGAUGACAGUGAAAUUAUCUAUCAUUUAUGUACCUGUCACUCUUUUAUGAUAGAAAAAAAGUAUGUCAUUAACGUAUGAUAGCGUUUAAAUGUCAUAUGUCAGUCAUGGAAAAAAAUAAAUAAAUAAUUUAAUUUUUUGGUGGGACAUGUAAAUUUUUUUUUUAUUUUGAAAUUUUGGCUGGAAAAUUAAUUUUCAUAUGGACAAUUUUGGCGGGUAAAAUAUUACGUUUGUGAUAAAAUUUAUGAUUGAUAUUUUAUGUCAUUAAUUCUUUUUAUGACUUAUUUUAUGAUUAAUUUUUUCUAUCACAAAUUCUAAAUUUAUACUGAACAUAAUUAUGAAUUAUUUCAUUUAAAUUUAUGCAUUCUUGUAUAUGAAAUUCAAUCACAAAUUCAAUAUGAACCAAAAAUUAAAUUAUACAUUCUAUUAAGUCCAAAAACACUUUGUAUUAAUAACAUCAUCUAAAAACACUUUUAUCCAACAGUUAACACAUCCAAAGUAAUUAAGAAGUUGAUUCCAGCAAACGUUUCAAAUUUUACAAACUAACAAGCCGUCAAAUCUUGUAACGCAGAACUCCCAUAUUCUCAGUAAAAUUCCAGUAGAUAAACUACCAUUCUCAACAAAUACCCAGCAAAACUCCCAAGACCAGCAAUUUCUCUCAACCUGCAUAUGCAACACCAAUUGAAUAUACCAAGCACUAUCGUUAUAAAGAAUAAAAACCUACAGUAAAACCCCUAAGUUUUAGAUGCAACAGAAUCAUUACUAAUUCAAACUCAAUCUGUAUGUGCAACACUAAUUAAUAUAGCCAACCCUAUAUUAUAAAGAGUUAUCUAUUAAAGUAAAACUUUAACUUUUUAUACAACUUAAAUUAAUUCCUUGCCACAAUAAAAUAUAUAGUAAAUAAAAAAGGUAUCUUGUAAUAUAAAUUUCAAGCAUAAUACAUAUCACCAUGACAAUGAAGAUAAUAUGAACUAAUGAUUGUCUCAAUACUUAUUUUUCAGCAGAACGUUCCUAUAGGAAUAGGUAAGCAAGAUCAUAUAUGGGAGUUAGGCAUGCAAAACAUUAUGGUUAUUUCUAUCUGGGCACAUAUCCUGUGAAAAUCAUGCACAAAUGUUCUAAAACUCUAUUAUGAAUAUGACUACACACAAACUAUAGCUAAGAGUAUAAACACGAAAGUCUCCACAAAAUCUAUGAAAAGGCCAAAACUCUCCUUCUCAGGCUGCUGCCAUUUCUUGCCUGUUGCUAAGAAUUAAAAGGAGACUCAUUAAACUUUGAAGAAAUGGAAUGGAAGCCCAAUGAAAAGCCCAAAUCCUCACUUUCUCCCAAAUAUACAAAAAUAUCCUCACGUAUUGUCCUCAAAUAUUCUUUUGUUUCUCUCCAACCACACAACCUAAAAAGUGGCCAUAACUAAACUAGCCCAUAAUAUAACGAACUUCCUCUUUCCUUCAAAUGCAAAAGGAAAUUCCAAAAGCAAGAACCGACGAGAAAAUAGCACAAAUAAGUACACCAAACAUUUAUAUGAAUUAAUUAUUUUUAAAAAAAGUAUAUCAAACAGACAAUAGAAUGCAGUACCAUAUUCUCCUCAUUUCCCCUGCCACCCCAAACCACGCAUAGAGAAGCACAACAAAUAAAUAUAUUCCCUAUACUGGAGAUAUAUAUAAGAUUUCUCCGAAGGUCAUCAGGCUUUAAUACAGCCAGAAAGCGGAUCUCAAUAAAAAUUUAAUUCAAAAUCACUGGUUCUUUUUGGAUGAUGCAGUUGUCAUUAAAUAUUUUGAAAGUAGCUGUGAAAAUAUAUCUCAUUCUGUUAUUCUAACCCCAAAAAUAAAAAUGGAAGAAAUGCCUAAAUAAUAACAAACAUUUGUCGGUCGUUCAGUGCACAACAACCUACAAUUGAAUUUCUUUUUGAGUAUGUUGCCAUUGUUGAGAGUGUACAAAAGUUUUUCACAGCUUCAGCAUUAAACCAAGUAGUAUACUACAAAAUGAAACUGUAGGAUAAACCACGAACGACAUCUAAUUAUAAAAUGUUGAUGAGUGGAAACUUGAUAAUAUUGAUGAAUCUGUUAGUACCUAUAAACGAGGAAUACAAAAACAGGCCUGGUUCACUGCAUUAUUAUUCAUUACCCCUCUAAUUAAUUAAGCUGAAGAAAAUAUCAGUGGCAGAGAAUUCUGUUCUUGGAUCCGUUUUCAACAGUUCGCAUUGUAUAUUAUAUCCUUAAGCAACUUCCGUUUUUCUAAAUAUUUGGAACUGUUUAAGAACCAAUCCAACUAAAAUUAUUGUUGCAAAAGGAAAAAUAUUAAGCACAUAGCAGAGCGAAAGAAUGCAUAUAUGUGAGAAUACGUCUCCUUGAUAUCGAAUAGAAAAGGCCAAAGUAAGUUCAAUAAAAAUAAUAUUGUAUGUUUAGUUGUAAGGUGCUAUUUAUUACUUUGUUUGAACAAGAAAAAGUUCUAAAAAGACCAAUCAUUAGCUUCAAUAAGCCCAUGCUUGGCUCCAUAUAUAUUAAUAACGAUUACAACAUACACAAUUAAUUUUAAAUAGUGGUCACAAUUAAUGGCUAACAAAGUAGUGAAAGGAUACCUCUAUAGAUGAUUCGAGUUGAUGUUGCAACUUCAGCAUUGACAUUGUCUUUAAGCCAUUUCCUCAGUUCAGCAUGGACCUGUCACAUAUAUUUAAAACAUGGUCUGAGAAAAAUGAUUACAUCAAAAUUCACAGAAUAUCAACUUUAGAAGCACAACAAAGAGCAAUUAUGUCAGCAAGUUUUGCUGGCAAAAAGAGAUAAAGUAAUAAUUGAAAUAGACUUAAAACAUCUAUUUACUUGUAUUCAAUAUGUAAACACUGUCAUGACCCAACCCAGACCUGGCAAGAUAUUGUCCGCUUUGGGCCUUAACAAGGCCCGCACGGAUUUGUUCUUGGGGCGCUCAUACACCCCAAAACGCGUCUUGCCAAUUAAGGUGUGGAUCACUCCUUAUAAACCCAGCAUCUCUCCCGUACUUUGCCGAUGUGGGAUUUGCCUAGGGUGUUACAUACACCCCCCCUUGAGGACUCAGCGUCCUCGCUGAGGUUUGCCCCACCAUCGCUCAAGAGGACACGCGGAGCCGCUCUGAUACCAUAAUGUCAUGACCCAACCCAGACCUGGCAAGAUAUUGUCCGCUUUGGGCCUUAACAAGGCCCGCACAGAUUUGUUCUUGGGGCGCUCAUACACCCCAAAACGCGUCUUGCCAAUUAAGGUGUGGAUCACUCCUUAUAAACCCAGCAUUUCUCCCGUACUUUGCCGAUGUGGGAUUUGCCUAGGGUGUUACAAACACAAAGUACAAAAUUAUUUCUGUGCAUGUACCCAUCUGAAAUGGAAAUGACACGGGCAAAAUUAUUUGUGGGUUUGUACGAAUAUUUAGGCAGAUGUAUAAAAGAAAGCAUCCACAAGCAUGGGAGUCUGAAGAUGGAUUGGGAAACAAAUAUAAUUCUUUGUUGUAUGUAUGAAUCUAUAAGGUGAAAAAAUGAUGAUGACAAUCAGAAACAGCUCUACUGUAUUAUUACUUGUUUCAAAACUUCUAGAGCUAUAGACAAAUUCUGAAAUGCUCUGCCUAGGAAAAAAUACACGUGGUGAAAAUAUAUGGAAAUGUGCUGACAAAAACACCAAACAAGCUCAUAAUCAAUUCUUGUUAAAAAAAAAAAGGCUCAUAAUCAAUCCAACAAUAUUUAUGUUGAUAGCAAGAAUAAGGAUAGUCAUAUCAUUCUUCUAAGCACGAAGAUCAUUGUCAUUGAAACAUCAAAUUAAAUAAGACAUAAACUCAAACUUCCUUCUUGAGCCUAAGCAGGGGUUGCAACCUUUCCAGUACCAAUGGCCCAAACUAGCUCAUAAGCCAACACAACAUUGUCCCAGUUGGAUUUUUUUUCUGCAAGAGAACAAAUAAUUAAUUGUUCAUGCCGUGUAGAAUCUAAUAUUACAAAAUAUACAGUCUUUCGCUGACCAUAGAUAAUCAUCCUAUAAGAAAAGCAAACCUUACGUACGUACCUAAGAUCAGAAAAGAAACAAUAAUGGAUGGAUGUGGAUAUAUAUAUAUGCAUGAAAAUAAGAAUAUUCCUGACAUGACAGCAGGGAACGCUACUAAAAUAACGUCAGGUGCCACGGCAACCGGGGUAUAGUACACCAUAUAAAUACUCAGGUUUAAUUUUUAUCAAUUAAGUUCACAAACACACCACCAAAAAAGCUAAGGUUUCUUCAACCUCAAAACCUUUAUUACUGAGAGCUUGCAAGCUCUCUAACCUGAGAUAACCCAACUCUAACUUGAGCGUCAGAGUGUGGUCGCCGACCACCCCCGGCUCCACCUCUGACCUCUUUUUUAGUUGUUUCGUAGGUUUAAGAUGAUUUUCACCAGCCUUCUACACCUGAAGUCAGACCCCCGCCAUAUCCACCACCUUCUCAAUCCUCCUCCACUCCACAAAAAGCCUAAACAACCCACACGCGCCGAACAAGCGAGGCACCCCGCUCCCCAACAAAAAUAAAUUUAUUGUUCUGGGCUUGGUUUUGUGAUUUUAUCUCGUUAACCCAAAAUCAGCCGCCAACAUAUUGUAAGGAAAGAUUAGAUAUAAAAUGGUUGUAAGAAAUAAUUAACCAUUAAUUUGAAUCUAGACUAAAUUAAAACCUAAAAUUAAAUGUCAUGAUAUCUUUCACGAAAAUACAAAGUAUAUACAAAUCAAUGUAGGUCUACAUUAUAAAGUUCAGCAUCAUUCCGAAAGUUUCAAAUACAUCUUUAUCAAAUGAUAGCCUGCAAUAUAAGCAAUAAUAUAGUAAGAUGUAGGAUAAAUUAACACCAUAUUUACGUAUAGGAUGAGUUUGGUUGAAGGAUCAAAAUGCGGGAAUGUAAUAUUCUUUCAAACUUCAUCCAAAUCCCUUAUUGAUGCUCUCAAAGAGUAUUGGGAUUAUCUUAUCCUGAGCCCACAAGAUAAUCCCAACUUUAUGAAGAAAGUUAUCUCACGGGUGGCCUUGGGACUAGUUGAGAAUAAUUUUAAAAAGCAAUUAUUUAUACUUAAUAGUUUCUCAAUAUUAAAAUUAUAUAAAUAUGUACUAAGCAUAAUACAAGUAUUAUAAUAAUUAAACAUUAUAAAUAACAAAUAAAACAAAAAAGUUAUUUAUUUAUCAUGAAAAUAAAAUAUUAAAAAGUAAUUAUAUUUGUUUAAAUAUUUUAGUAACAUUAUUAAUGUAAAUUUAUUAUUAAGUAAUUUUUUUGAUUAAUAGUGUAAAUAAUUUUCGCUUGUUUUAAACAUUAAAAUAUAAUACAAUUUUAAAUUUAAAUAUAUAAUUUUAUUAUUAUAAAAGUAAAGUUUAUAUCUUUCCAUUAAACUUAAAAUAAUAUCUGGUCAUUUUUAUUAUCUUUAACCUAAUUUAAUGUUAAAAUUAUAUAUACAUUACAAUUUAGUCCAAUCUUGUAUUACGCCAAACAUGAGAGGUCAUGAAAUAUAAUCUUAUCCUAUCACAUCUUAUUUUAAGUCAUAUAGCUCAAGUCAUAUUCAAUUAUAUCUCAUCUCAUCCUAUCCUAUCCUAUCCACCGCACCAAACAAGCAUAUAUAUGUGAUUAAGAACUACAAAUACUAUAGCUCGAAGCAUUUCUGUUAGAGUUUCUCCUAAAACAUAGAUAUCCAGAGACAAGCUUUUAGAAUGUUUGAAAUAUAAUCACUCAGGGAUGUAAGUCGAUAUAGUUAACGGUACAUCAAAUCUGUAAUUCUAACGCGAGCUAGACUCGAGCCCCUCUCAAAUCCAAAAGCUAUAUAGCUUUCCGAACACAUUUACCGAAUGACCAACAUCAAUUUCUUCUGCAACUGAUAAAGGACAAAUACAACAAUAUAUGAUAACUAAAGGAACAAAUAUAGGAAACUGCUAUUGCGUUUUUAUGGAAUUAAAAUGAGGAGAAUAUUCAAAGGAACCCUUAGUUCUUUAAUUUCGGAGGAAUUUGGGGAUUAAAUUGCAUGUGUUAUAUAUGCUUCCGUUUUCGUUUCUAUUUCAACUAAAUUGCACAAGUCAAGUCACAUGGCAGCAGAUUUACGUGCAUCCAGUUUUGGAGUGGCAGAGAUAGACCAAUUGUACCAAGGCUAUUAUAUUUAAUGUACUAAUUAAUGUUAUGGAUAAUUAGUGAGCAGCCUAACAAAUAACUUGUAUCACAAUUUACAGCUUCAACUGACAAAAUAAUAAAAUUAAUGACUCUAUGUAUAGCUAAAAACUCUAAUUCAUAAUAAUAAUAAGGGAGUUCAAAUAAAACAGCAGCUAAUAAAAUAGUCUGUCACUACAAAUAAUAUGAAGAAACACCAAGCUUUAGAGUUUGUCAUUUAUUAAUGAUUUCUUCGUCAAAUUAAUCCAGCGAGCUUGUUCAGAGACCCAACUUGUUCAAUAGACGAGGAAAAUUGCUUGAAUUCGAAGAAUUUUGACAGAGAUAAGAAACCUACAAGGAGGGAGGAUUAAUAAUUAGAAAAGGAAUAGUGCAAACUUUUAUUCGUGUGUGUGUCUAUAUAUAUAUAUAUAUAUGUAUGUAUGUAUGUAUGUAUGUAUGUAUGUAUGUAUGUGUGUGUGUGUUUGUGUGUGUGUGUGUGUGUAUAAACAUGUAUACAUACGGGAGAUUUUGAAACAACCUUACAAUAGAGUGAACAGAAAUAAUUAUUCCCUUGCAGCCUAGCCGGACACCCACUGCAUUUGUUGGUGGUGGAUUCUCUAAAAUAUGUUCCUGGCCUUUGGUUUAUAUGUAGCACUUUUUCACCAUUAUGUUGAUAUGUCUGAAGAGAAAAUAUAUGGAGCACGUUUGUAAGAAAGUGGUCAGAUAUAAAUGUAGUUUCACAAGUCAUAUGCUCAUGCCUGGAUACCGAAUUUGAACCAAGAACAAAAUUGUGUGGCACAGCUCAAUUCGGAUUAAAAUUCGGAUGUUCGUGCGUGAGCAUUAUUAUGCAGUUCAGAGUAGUACUUCAUUGGCAAAUAGCAGAAUUUUUAAGAAAAUAUUCAAUGAAGAAGAAAUAAAAAAGAUUUGAAUUCAAGCUUUGACUUAUUACUUGGAUAUGUCCACAGUCAAUGAACUCGUGAGCCUCAACGAACCGUACAACGCCGUUUUCGCCAUAUGUGCGGAUCUGAAAUAUUAAAAAUUUACAAAACAAAUACAUAAGUAAAUAAAUAAAUCAUGCAGAUAGUAUUAAAAAUUUAUGAUGUAAUAAAUUUAAUUCAAAUAAUAUUUAUUUAUUCAUGUGAACCUUUAAGAGGUGAUGAGUACUUUCGUGAUUGGACAAGCAUUUUUCGCAUAUACUGGUGCAACAAUUCAAACAAUAUAUGUUCCUUUGUCUAACUGCCGUUCCGUGAUUGCAAUUUUGAAAGCUUCUCUCUAGGAAAAGAGUCAAAAGACCUUGGAGCCACUGGGGUUGAUUCCCGGCCUGAAAACACGAUUGAAUACAAUUGAUGUUAUUAACUAAUUAAAAAAAGUAACAACGAUUUCGAGUCCUAAUGAACCAACGAAGUUGGAUUCAAUAUGCUAAUCACCCUUUGUACGAGAUUAUUAAAAGUUCAACGCAACUAUAUGAUAAAAGCUAAAUCUUAAUUCUAAAUCAAAAGGUGAAAAUUAAAGAAAAGACCUACCAUAAUUGUCUAUUGAUGCUGGAGAGUGUAUAUUUUUCUUUGAGAGAGAGGGGAGUGUUGGUAAAGAGAAUUACACAAGAGUCAAAGAGAAUUGAGCUUUUUAUAUAUGUGUGUAUCGUAUUUGUGUCGUAUUGCUGUCCGAAAAAUUCUAGCACUGUUUAGUUAAUUAAUGUAAUAGGUUUCGUCAACAUAAAAAAAAAAAAAAAAAUUAGCACGCGGGAAGAUUAAUUUCUAUUUUAGCAACGAUAAUAGGAAACGUUUGUGUCUUAUUUGGGUUGUGUUUGUGUUUUAAUUAACGCAAAAACUAUUUUGUUGCCUACUCUAGAGUUAGAUCAGGAAACUUAACAAAGAAUAAAAGUGGAAAAAAUAAAUUGUAAUGAGUUAAUGGGAAACAGAAGGUACAUGCGCAAGCUGAUUCGGAUUAAUUUUAAUGGGAAACAAAAGAUACAUCCACAAGUUGAUUUGGAUUAAUUAAUUUUCAACAUCUGUAAUCAAUUAUAGGGUGAGGUCGCUUGAACCUACUAAAUCUCUCUUUAAACGUGAACAAAAAUUAUAUUUAUUUUUAAAUUUUUAAAUUUCAAAAUGUUAGAAUUACUCUUCAUUUUUUUAAUAGGUGUAUAUUUUCUCUCUGCCAUAACAUCCUGUAAACUAAAUUCUCACGUAUACUCUAACAUGGAUAUUGAUUCUUAAUCUUUCUUAUUAGAUCAUGAUUGCAUUAUUAAUAAACCCUUACUGCAUUUCUUGUAUUAUUGAAGUAAAAAUAUCAUGGAGCUCAACCAUAUGCAUAUCUCCGCUGGGCAAUCAAAGUCUUUUUGGCAGGGCUUACAAUUCAUGUCACUAUAAUCCAUGUUCUUCAAUAUGGACGAAGGAUGCCGAGGUCAUUGGAAUCAUGAUUUUCAUUUUCAAAGAUUUUAUGAAAAAAAAUUAAUGACUUUGAUGUCUUGUAAAUUUCGUUUGAAGUUUAUAUUUGGAUAGUAAGUUUUGUUUUGUUUUUAAUUGUUGAUGGCAUGUAGAAAAUCUGAAUUUAUCAAUUUUUGACAGACAAACAUUACCAUUCACUUACAACUGAACAUUGAGAGAAGAAAAAAUGCGAAGCCCUGGGUGCGAAACUGAGGCAAAAAGCGAAAGAGAAAACAGGGUACAAUAUGUAAUUCCAUAAAAAAACUUUAAUAAUAAGAAAUUUAAAUAAAAAAUAGGUGUAUAAAUAAAAUUGGUGGGUUUUAGUACUCUCACCCUUAUCAUGUGUCUUUUGAAGCGCAAGUGGAAUUCAUGCUUCUUUUUUUUAACCUUUCCAUUCGCUCAGAUCCCUUCCAUUUCCUUAAUUUUGUCUGGAUCUUCUUUUUCUUUUGAGAAAAGGGUAUAAGAAGGAUCUUCUUUGGCAGACACCUCUUGCUCCUCUUUAAUUUUCCCUUUCAAAGGCUUUUCUAUUUCUACAACUUUUUCAUUCAUUUAUGAGGUUUCUUUCACUUUCAAUUUCUUAGUAGAAAUGGAUGAGGGUAUUCUCCCUAAAUAGUAUAUAUAAAUAAGAGAAUACAUCUCUAAAGUUUGGGAGAAUUGUCACGCAGAACUUAAGGUUAGGCUGGGCAAAUAAACCGACCCGACCCGAUUCGAUCUCAUCCGAUCCAAAUAUUUCAAGUUCGGAUUGGAUGCGGAUUGACAGUGAAACCCCAUCAAAUUGAUUUUCAAACCCGAUCAGAUUAUGUUCGGAUCGGAUCAAACCCAAUCCGAUCCGAAAAUCCGAUCGGAUUGCAAAUAAAAAAAAUAAAGAAUUACAAAACCCUAAUUUAUCAUUUCUCAACACCACACGAGCACAAGCCACCACCAGCCCACCACUGUCCAAAACUCCAAUUCCAAAGGACCAAUCUCAUCGGCACCAGUCACCACUGUUGAACCGCCAUUGUCCGCCGCAAAAUUAACCCAGCAAAUCGCACCAAGUCAUGAGCCUUAGCCUUCGUUUUGAUUGCGUCGGCCGCCACCAAGCACAAUAGAUCCAUGGUCGCGCCAGCCACCACCAAGCACACAGUCCGUGGUCGCGCCAAGCAGCCAUGUCCGCAACCUCUCUCUACUGCUGAAAUGGCAUUUUCCGAUGAAGCCAUUUACAGGUGAUGUUAAUAAUAUUGAGUUGUGAAAGUUAACCAAUUUUUUUUAGGCUUGGGAUUUGUUUUAUUGACAUGAGGGAUGCUGUAAAGUCGUUUGAAUUGGUGAAAAGGAUGGGAAGUUGAAUUGUGAUUUUUAUUGUUCUCUUAAUUUGUUGAAAUGAUUGUUCAAUUUCGUGUGUUCAAAUUGAAGAUAUAAAGUUCUCGUGAUUGUAAUGAAAUUUGCAGCGAUUGAUUCUAACUUCAGUUAUCAAAUCCAAGAUGUGAUUUAAAAAAGAAAAUUACAAUUCUCUCUGCAACCUAAGCAAUACCACCCAAAUCCGAUCCGAUCCGUUCUUAACCCGAUUUUUUGAUCCGAUCCGAUCCGAACCGAACAUAUUCGGAUUGGAUCACAUAUUCGGGUUGAGUUCGGAUGACAUUUUUCUUAAUCCGACCAACCCGAAAUCCGAUCGGGUUGACCCGAACCCGAUCCGAAUCCGAUUUUGCCCACCCCUACCUUAAGGUUUCAACAAGAGAUAACAAGAUCACUUUUUGACCAUAGUACUUGGCUCUAUUAAUCCCAAAAAUUGACUAAAUGUUUUAUAAAAAUAGAAAUGCAAUAUUAAGAUAAUGGAAUAAUACAUAUAUUUUAAAAUAAUUUCAACAUUAAAAAAUUGUUUAAUAUUUUAAAUCUAUUAGACAUAUUUUAUUAUAUUAAAUUAAAUUUUAUAACAAAUAGAAACAUUAUUGUCUAUUAAAAUAAGCAUAUAAUAAAUUAAAUUUUUUAAUAUUAUAAAAAAAUAAUUUUAAUAUUAUUAAUACAUGAGACAUAUUUUAUUAAUUUUGAAAUUUAUUUAGCCCAAAUAUUUAUUUAAAAUCUUUAUGCUAAAUACAAAUGUAUUAUUCAAAAAACAUAAAUAUUACAUUUUAAAAUUAUUUUAAAUAUUAACAUUGUCAAUAUCACUAGUCUACUAGAUAGUUUAAAUUAUUUGUAUUAUACUUUUUGUACUCAUUAAACAUUUUAAGCUAUUUUUUAUUUACUAUAUUUCAAUGAGGUCCCUAAAUGAUGUAGUAAAAAACUUAUGGCAUCAAUAAUGUUUCAACUGUGUACCAUUAGAUUUAAUUAACGGUAAACAAUAUUUGUAUUAAAGAACCCUCCUUUAAUUAACCCUCCUUUAAAUUUAUAAUGUGAUAACUUUUUUGAAUAUAAAUGUUUCAAAAUAUAUCAUCUAAUAGUUAUCUAACAAAAAUCAAAUAAAUAAGUUGUAAUUAUAAAACUUAUAUAUGGUGUAACACUAAUAAAUGACACAACUAAGUACGUAUAUUUCAGUGAAUGUCAUAAAUUGCAUCAAUAAGCUCAUGGAUGAAAUUGUUUGUAAUCUAAAAUUACUAGAUCACCCAUGUUUUAAUAAAAGUUACAUUGCAUAUUAAAAUACCCGCUAUAUACUACUAUAGACCAUUAUAUAAUUGAUCAACAAUUAUAGAUUAUUUUUAACACCCAUUUAGUACAUGAUAAUUUCAUUGCAGGUUAGAACACUAUCAUCUGAUUAUUUUUUUCCUAAUAUACCUCCUUUUCUUUUCAUUUUUCUCAAAUAAAAAUAAUUUAUUUUUUCCAAUUUUUUAAAAGAAAAGGAAAAUAAGAAGAGUUUUAAUUUUUUUUCUAAAUGGAAUUGAUGAGUGGUACAAAGGACAAGUGCUGUAAUCAAUGGAGUUUUGGUGAAGAGUAGCCUUCAAAUAUCAUAAUUGACGAAGGAAAUUAUACCCCUAAAAUUAGGUUUACGGGAUUUUGAACACCUGCACUCACACAGUGUAAAAGCAAGUGUUCGCCAAUUAGGCCAAAGAACUAUUUACUUUAAUUAAGGAGAAAGAAAAAUGUUAAAUAAACUAAAUAUUGUAAGAUGGUUUCAUGGGGUGAGGAAGGAACUUUCUAGAUGUCAUAACUUGGGCUAUAGGUACCCAUUUUGGCCAUAUAAUAUAAUUUCAAAGUUUGCGAUGAGAUGAACCAAAUCUAAGGCCAUGUUUAUGCCAUUCUGCCACAUGAUCGUGCCAAAAUUCUAUUUCUUUCCUUUCUAUUUUAUAAUAUUAAGUUAUUUUUUUGUUUCACUAGUUAAUUUCAAGAGUUUUAUCUCUUUUUUUUAAAUAUCAAAUUUAGAUGCCAUUUUUUUUGUUUUUCUUAUUUGCAAUAGGAGAAUUUUACUAUAAAAUGUGCCUGUUUUGAUAAAUUUACAAUAUUUAUGGUUAGUAUAAAUCCGGCCCAACCGUUUUGGGGAUAUACUAUACCAUUACGAAUCUUGCGACAAGACAAACCAACCCACAUUGUCUAGCUAGAAAUUUAGUUUCUUUCCUAGUCAUUUUACAAUUUUAAGUUAUUUUCCUAUUUUUCUUGUUACUUUUAAGAUUUUUAUCUUUUUUUUUCUCGAUUUUAGAUUUGGGCGCCACUUGUUUUGUUUUCCUUAUUUAGAUUAAGAGAAUUAUAUUAUAAACUAAUAUGUCAGAUUUGCCUACUUUGGUAAAUUUCCAAUAAUUAGGGUUAGUGAUAAUUUUAUGAAAUGAGACUUAUCAUGACAUUUCUAGACUUAAACUAAUAUUACUUACAGAGUGAAUGAUUUGUUUUUAUUGCAUUUUUAGUUACAUUUUUGCAUGAGUAUCUAUUUAAGUUUAAUUUUAAUAAAUUGAUUGUGUUUUAGAUCACUUUGUGCUCUGAAUAUGAGUAUAAUUAUAGAUGACCAAAAAGCUCAAACUUUAUUUAUGGGAUGCAUCAGCAGACUUGCAUAAAUAACAACAAACUUGUCUGCAGAUGAACUAAAAGAAGUCUAAAUCAGAGAAAAUGUUGUAGCAAUUGUUGUAGCAAUCCAGAAGCAAAUUACAAGCAAGACUACUUGCGUGUUAAUUGACAAAGUAGCGACAGGCGACACAAAAUGAUAUGCGAUCCAAGGUUUCCAAAAAAGAGACACAUGGUCACAUGCUUUUGGUUGUCCUAAUUCCAAGAUAUAAAAAGCGUACAUGUGAAAGAAACAAGGUGGCCGUCACACAAAGAAAAAACAGAGAGAAAAAGAAAAAGAAGAGAACAAGAGAGAGUUGAGGGUUGCAGCAAGAGAUUUUUGAGAAAAAGAAAGAGAGGUCGCAAAAACCUAAGAGAUGGACGUCUUAUAUUAGCAUAACUCAAUUCCUUAUCUUUAUUUGCUUGUUUUCAUCUCUCUAUGAGAAUGUAUCUGAUGGCAAAAACGAGUAUUAUUACUGUUUUAUCGCUAUCAUGAACUAAACUUUGAUGUAGUUGGGUGAAAGCAAGGUUAAUGAUUAUUUGACUUAUAUAUGUGUGUUGCUGCUGCAUCAUUUUGUCUUAACUUUACUUAUUGCAAAUCUCUAUUUCAGUUGACCACCCAUUUAAUGGAUACUAGCUAAGGAGAAGCCUAAAAAUGAUCUGACUGAGUGGAACAAAUUAAGACAAUACAUGGUUUUAGUUUGAGUUUCCCAAGUUGAGUUAAUCUCGAUUUGAAUAUGGUCAUACUUAAUCUAAGAUUAGUGAAGAACCAGACAUAGAGAUUUACCUUGUAGAGUAAUUGAAUUUUAGAACAUAUAAUACUAUGUCUAAUGUUAGCACAGCAAUUGGUCACUGUUACGUUGCAUAUAGAUAUAAGAUAUCCAACAUGCGACAACUGAGGAUGCAUGAGGGAUUCUGUCCAGUGCUUUAACAUGUGUUAUAGCAACAAUACUGUAAUUGAAAAACAAUCAAUAGAUUGAAUUGAAUGAGUUUAAGCACUCAACUAUUUCUUUUAUAUUGAGUAUAUCUUUGUGUUUACCAUGAGAUUUUUUCCUUAUUGCAUUCUGUUUAUUUUAUUUUUAAUUUUGUUAGGUCAUUAAUUUCAUUCAUGAUUUUAUUUUAAUUAGAUUGAAUUUGUACUGUUAAGAUUGUUGUAGCAAGUACUAUAAUAUUAAUCCUUAUAGAGACAAUCUGGAUACUCAUUAUUAUAUCACUUGUUGUGUACACUUACACAUUGACACCUAUAGCAAUACAUAUCAAUAAAUUUUUGACAUUGUUUCCAAGAAUUGAAUGCUUAUUGUGAUUUGUGAAGUCAAUUUUAGUCGGUGCCAAUUUUAGUUUUUUUUUAUAAUUUGUUUACUGUGUUGACAGAAGUGCUCUAGCAACCCUUGUAUGCGUAGGUACAAAUCUGUUGAAUUCUAGUUUGAUUUAGAAAUUUAAAGAACUGCAAGGAGAUUGAGAAAAGAUCAUAGAAAUUUAAGAUAUGUUGCAGACAUAGAUGAUUUGUAAGAUAUAAGGAACUUGAAACCUCGAUGAGAAAUAGAACCCGUCAAUGCACAUGGAGGUAAAGAAGGUUAAAAUGGACAAAAUAUUUAUGGGCAACUAGAGAACAAUAAUAUUAUCUACAUGGCAGAUGAUAGAGAUAGAGCCAUUAGAGAUUAUGCCUUGUUGGCCCCUCAAGCCAUAAAUCCUGGAAUAGUUAGACCUAAAUUGCAAGUUGCUAAUUUUGAGCGUAAACUAGUGAUGUUUAUAUACUUCAAACAAUGUGGCAAUUCAAUCGACUGCCAUCAGAAGAUCCUCGCCUUCACUUUAAACUAUUUCUGGAAGUAAGUGAUGCUUUCAAGAUUGCUAGAGUAUCGCAGAAAGCAUUAAGAUUCAUACUCUUCCCAUUUUCUCUAAGGGAUCGAACAAGAGUAUGGUUGAACUCUCUACCGCCUGAUUUCAUUAUUAUAUGGAAUGACUUGGCGGACAAAUUUUUAAUAAAGUACUUCCCACCUGGCAUGAAUGCAAAAUUGAGAAAUGAGAUCACAAAUUUUUCCAUCAACUUGAAGAUGAAAGUUUGUAUGAUGCAUGAGAAAGAUUCAUGGAGUUACUCAAGAGAUGUCCUCAUAAUGAUAUUCCUUAUUAUAUACAGUUAGAAACUUUCUACAAUAGUCUCAACCCAAGUACUUAGAUUGAUAAUGGAUGCUUCGGUAAAUGGGACCUUGUUAUUUAAGUCUUAUAAUGAGGCUUAUGAAAUUUUGGAAAGAAUAGCUAAUAGCAACCAUCAUUGGGCAGGAGUCCACAAUGUAGAUGCCUUGACAGUAUUAUCAACUCAAGUAACCUCAUUAUCAAAUAUAGUGAAGACUAUAAUUACUACUUCAGCAACUUUAACCAAAUUACUGAGGUAUCUUGUGUUUAUUACAGAGAGGGCAUUUAUUCGACAAUGGUCUUGGAAAUCCUGCUUCAGUCAACUAUGUGGGCAUCUACAAUAGACAGAACUACAAUAAUCCUUAUUCAAACACUUAAAACAUUGGAUAGAGACAUCACCAAAACUUCUCAUAGAGCAAUCAUAAUCAACAUACUGUCGUACCCAGUGGACAAAACAUGCCUGCUCAACCACCUAGAUUUCACCAGUAAAAUCAGGGGAUGGAGAAUGGAGCGGUUGUCCAAAGCCAAGUUGUAUCCUUAAGAAACUUAAAAAAUCAGAUUGGACAGCUUACCACAGCACUAAGCAACAAACCUCAGGGCAUUUUACCUAGCAAUACAGAGGAUCCAAGAAGAAAAGGAAAAGAACAUUGCAAAGUGAUUAAUUUAAGAUUUAGAAAAGAUGUUCAUAUUCCAAUUAGUAUACUAAAAAGAAGAGUUAACCCAUUGUAACCCAAGAAGAAACUCAAGUUAAAACGGAGCCACAACCUCCUACUUUCCAGCACAUUAGUGUAAAUAGCCAAGCUACAACAUCGGUAAAAAAUGAUGCUCCAGCAUGUGUUGGUGAGGAUGCUACAACACCACCCACAUUAGUCCAAAACAUGGCAAAAGAGAAGCAAUCUGUACAACCUGCUAUAGCACAACAGUUUAGACACCCGCCAUAUUUUUCUCACAGAAUCUAGAAACAAAAACAAGAUAAUUAAUUCAAUAAAUUCUUAGAAGUGUUCAAGCAGCUACAUAUCAAUAUUCCUUUUGUGGAAACCUUAAAACAAAUGCCAAAUUAUGUGAAGUUCUUGAAGGAUAUUUUGGCAAGGAAAAGAAUGCUUAGAGAGUUUGAAACAGUUGCUUUAAUACAAGAAUGCAGCUAUAUGCUUCAUAACGAGAUACCUCAGAAGUUGAAGGAUUCAGGAAGCUUUACAAUCCCAUGCUCUAUAUGAACUAAAUACAAUGACAAGGCGUUUUAUGAUUUGGAAGUUAGCAUCAAUCCCAUACCUCUAUUAGUGUUCAAGCAAUUGGGAGUUGGAGAAGUUAAAUUAACAACAAUGACUUUACAACCUGUUGACAUAUCUCAUGCCUAUUCAGAAGGCUAGAGAAAUCUAGCUGAACCACGUUAAGAUUCUUUUGUUCUCUGAUUCAUUUACUUCUGUUUUGAUUCUUAAUUCCAAUCAGUUAAUUAUCUAGUUCAUAGGUUCAUCUUAGUCGCAGCUUUUCAGUCAUCAAUCUUGCAGCAUCUUGAUUAGUUGGUUGGUGAUCUUGGGGAAGAAUCUAAGGUUGCUUAGUCUGUUCAUAGCUCCUUAGUCUCUACAUUCCCUUUUGUAUAUAGAAGUAUUAUUCCAAGUAAAAUAAGGAGAACGUUCAACGGAUCCUUUAAUGCUUUAAUUUCGGAGACUAGGGAUUUGGAAUUUUAAUUGCUCGUGUCCUUCUUUUUUUCUUUUAUAUUUCAAAUUAAUUGUACAACUCAAGUCAUUUGGCAGCAGAUUUACUUGCAACCAGCAAAAGAAUCAUUCCAGUGUUUUGGAGUGACGAAGAUAGGCCAACAUUUAUCCAUCAAAACUGUACUAAUUAAUAAUAUGUACUAAUUGGUGAUCAGCCUAACAAAUAACUUGUAUGACAACUUACAGCUUCAACUGACAAGAUAAUAAAAUUAAUGAUUCUAUUUGUAGCUAAAAUCUAUGCACAAUAAGAGAUAUUAAUGAUAGGACUUUCAAAAAUAAAAAUUCUAAUUCAUAAUAAUAAUAAGGAACUUCAAAUAAAACAUAAAUUAAUAAAAUAGUCUGUCACUGCAAAUAAUUUGAAAAAACUCCGAGCUUCAGAGUUUUCUUUGUCAUUUAUUAAUUAUUUCUUCGUCAAAUUAAACCAGCGAGCUUCUUCAAAGACCCAACUUGUUCAAUAGACGAGGAAAAUUGCUUGAAUUCCAUGAAUUUUGACAGAGAUAAGAAACCUAAGAGGAGGGACGAUUAAUAAUUAGAAAAAGAAUAAUGUAAACUUUUAUAUAUGUAUACAUAGAUGUAUAAUUGAUACUAAGCGAUUAAAAAAAUUUACCCGGUAAUAUGUAUAUAUAUAUACAUAUACACGCACACAUAUAUACAUAUAUACAAAUUAUAAGGAGAUUUUGAAUGAACCUUGCAAUAGAGUGAACAGAAAUAAUUAUUCCCUUGCAGCCUAUCUGAACAGCCGUUGCAUUUAUUGGAGGUGGAUUCUCUAAAAUAUGCUUCUGGCCUUUGGUUUAUAUGUAGCACUUUUUCACCAUCUUGUUGGCAAGAAAGUGGGCAGAUAUAAAUGUGGUUUCAUCAGUCAUACGCUCAUGUGUGGAUACCGAACUUGAGCUAAGAUCAAAAUUGUAUGCCAUAGUCCAAUUCGGAUUUUGCAAAAUUCGGAUGUUUGUACAUGAGCAUUAUUAUGUAGUUCAGAAUAGUACUUCGUUGGCAAAUACCAGAAUUUUUGAAGAAAAUAUUCAAUGAAGAAGAAAUAAAUAAGAUUACAAUCAAUAAACUCGUCAGCGUCAACCAACCGUACAACGCUCUUUCGGCCAGAUGUGCGGAUCUGAAAUAUUAAAGAUUUACAAAACAAAUGCAUAAGUAAAUAAAUCAUGCAGAUGGUUUUAAAAAUUUCAUGAUGUAAUAAAUUUAAUUCAAUUAAUAUUUAUUUAUUCAUGUGAACCUUUAAGAGGUGAUGAGUACUUUCGGGAUCUGUGUGUGUGUGUGUGUAACGUACUCACAACAAUAAAAACUCUUUUCAUUAGGUGUAUCAAAUAUGGGGACUUUAGAAAAAAUAAUAAUAAUAGUAAUAGUAAUAGUAAUAAUGUUGUAAUACAAUAAAUGAUAAAUUAAUAACCUUAAUUAAAUAAUAAAAUUCUCUGAUCCCAACUUGUGCCUAUUUGAAAAAUUACUAAUUUAGAUAAAAGCAUAAGAUAAUAACUUUUUAUUCUAAAGCAACAAAAAGAAAUACAUAGAUAAUUCAUGAUUCAGACCAAUGCUUCGUAUUCUCUUCAUUAAUUCUUUUGGUUAAUCUAUUUGUGUUUCAUAGUCAUAAACUUGUAAUUUUUUUUCUAGCCCCAAGGGCUUCAUUGUUAUGUAGUUUUUACAUAAUUUUAUUUGAUUGGUUACCCAAGUUUAAAUCUUGAGAAGAUAUAAAAAUCAUCAUUUUACCCAUCUAAAAUCGAAACUUAUAUACAUAGAUAAAUUAAAAGAAAAAACUUGUUCAGUGCUAAAAUGAGUUUUCCCCAUAUAACUUUUCCAUGGAGGGAUUUACCUUAAUGACAAUGUGAAAACAUAAGAAUUUGAUUGAUAAGAGAAACAAAGCUUCUCAAUAAUGAAUGUUUUAUUGAAAAAGUUUGAAUUAAUAAAAUUAGGGUUUUGCGCCCCUAACAUAGUAGCCCUAAACAUCACAAAUUUACGAAAAUAGACAAAUAUAAAAUAUUAUUUUAUAUUAAUAUUCUUCUAUUCUAAAUAAGAAAAAUAAAUAAAUGGAACCCAAAUUUGAUUUCUAAAAAAAUAAAAUCCAAAAAAAGAGAAAUAGGAAAUAUCUUAAAACUAAAAAAAGACCAAGAAAAAAUAGAAUUUUUAGCUUGAGCACGGACCAAAAGGGUGCAAUCUAUUUUGGGCUUUGUUUGUCUAGUCACAAACUUCGAAACAGUAUAUUAUAUGCCCAAAACAAACACUUGUAACUCACGUUAUGACCUCUAGAAUGUACCCUACUCAUCUCAUGCAACCAUCUUACAUCGUUUUGCCAACCAAGUACCCAUACUUUGGAUCAUCGUCUUCAGUUUCUAAGACAAAGUUGUACACUUAACUUGAAUGGUUUAAUUUUAUGAUGCUAAUUAGGGUGGGUGCUUUGAUCAAACUCGAUAAAGUACAAACACAAACCAAAAAUGUGCAAUCUAUUUUGGGUUUUGUUUGUUUAGUCACAAAUUUUGAAACAAUAUAUUAUAUGCCCAAAUCGAACAUCGGUAGCCUAAGUUAUGACCUCCGGAAGGUACCUUAUUCAUCUCACGCAACCAUCCUAACUCACUUAGCCAACCAAGUAGACAUACUUUGGACCAUGGUCUUCGGUUUCUAAGUUCAAGUUGUACACUUAACUUGAAUGGUUUAAUUUUGUGAUGCUGAUUGGGGCCCCUUUUUUUUUAUCAGACUUGAUGAAGUACUACGGGAUUUUGUAUCUUUCUCAAUGCAAAUCGUAUCUCAUGGUGUUCUAAGAAGCGGCCCACUGUACGAAGUGUUGAUCACUUGCUUUCACAACAGUUGAGCUCACAUGGCUAACCUUCCUAUUCUUCGUGUUUUGUGAUAAUAUAAGUGCGUUACACACAUAUGACAGUAAAUCCAGUCUUGCAUGCGCGAUCUAAACAUAAUGAGAUGGACUAUCAUUUUCGUAUAAGGUUAGCCAUGUUGAUAUUUUGAUAAGAGAUUUAAGGAACUCCUACCGCAUUCAAGAUGCACUGUUUUGGAUUUCCUCAAUGAAGAUUCAUAUAACCUCUUUGUUUGCUUUUCUUUUUGUUUUCUUUAUAUCCUUGUGGGUCUUUUGAUGGAAUAACUCUCACCACUUAUUCAUCUUUUUAUUUUUGAAUUUAACAAAGCUUAGGGUUUACAGGAUCCAAUUUUUAGUAAUUAAGUCAAACCACAUAAUUGACCAAAGAUUGAUAACUCAAAUAAAUACUCAUUACUAAUAAUAAUAAGUUCUGAAAACCCAAUAAAAAAAAAAGCGCGCUUCACUAGAAAUUUAAAUGUCUAAUGAAGAGAAAAAAAAACAAUUGAAGAAUUUGAUGACGCGUGCAGUGCAAGCUAUGGCAGAUUCACUCUGUUCAAAAGCCAUUUGGCGUUGCGAUAAUUGGAUGGAACUGACAUGAUAUGAACCUAUAAUUAAAGACAGAUAAAUAUUAGAGUUAGAAUAAAAUAAUUUAACUAAAAUGAAAUUAAUUACUUAAUUAACUAACCUUGCAAUCGAUUGAACAAAAAGGAAUUAUGAUGUUCAAGCGUUGCAUCGCAGCCGUCACGUUCACAAUUAUUGCCUCCAUAACUUGUCUGUGGCCUUUGCUUAAUAAAUAACACUUGGGCACCGUUAUGGACGCGUGGCUAAAGAGUAACAUAGAUUUAGAACGCAUAAAUGUAUAAAGCGAGGAAAGUGAGAAAAAAAGUAAUAUAUAUAUAUUCUCAGCUCCAGUCCUGUUUUACUUUUGCUGCUUCUCUGAGAAAGAACUCUAAAGCAAACAAACUAACACACACACACACACUCUCACACACAACAAUAAAAACAAAAAAAACUAACUUCAAAUGCACGAAGAUUGAUUGCAGAAGGUGAAGAAACAAAUUAACACACACAAAAGAAACAAACUAACACAACCUUUCAGUUCUAGUCUUCCUUUAAUUAUACAUCCCUAAUAUUUCAUAUUUGCUUGCACUGUAUGCUUGCCCAUAUAAUGUCUCCGCGGCACUUCCCAAAUCAGUGAAGUCACACCACUUAAUCAAAAUUAACAAUAUAACAUCUUCUCCAAAUUCAAACAAUGGGCUAUGUGGCAAAGAAAAUCAAACAAUUUCUUAAUUGUGAUGACCAAUUACUAACCAAAAAUGGCAACAUAAUGAAAAUCAAAGCUCAUGAGGAAGACCCAAUCAAUUUCUAGUGCAGAUCGAAUCAAGUUCUUCUCACAAACAAACAGCUUUCUCCCCGAAAGCAUGUAUUCUAGAAUCAAAUACAGAAACUAAGCAUUUACCUUGCAGAUAGUUCGCUGAAAGGACCAAAAUCUUUAAUAGGGAGAGUCCAGAUACAGUAGCGAUGAAUCUCAGUUUCUAGGAUUUAGUUCGCAAUCCAAACAAUUGCUUCAAUGACAAUUUGAACGCUGGUAGUUUGAACAAGGGUAAGGAACGGUCCGCCGGCUGGUGUUUGGGUAAUGUAUGUAGUGGCUAAUUGAUUAAGAGUGAUGAUGAGUAUCUAGGCUAGGGUUGAGUGGUGUGAGUGAGAGUGAUGAUGUCGAUCAGUAGAGAGUAUUGGGAGACUUGGAAAAUUUAUGUUUUUGUUAACACACUUUCUUAAACGCAGCGUUUCGUUCGUUUAUUUUUUUUAAAUCAAUUAUCUAAACGCCGCGUUUGGAUUAUAAAAAAUUAAAAUAUUACUUUUAAAUUUGGUCAAACACGGUCAAUAUUAAAAUUCUAUCACAAUGUUUGUGACUGAAUUUAUUUCCAUCACAUGCAUAUCAUAAACUAUUGAUAGAUAAAUAUUCUAUCACAAGUAGGGAUAGCAAAAUAACCCGGACCCGGACGAAUCCAGAUAAUCUGGAUCGGGUUGAACCGGUACCAAAGUUUAGAAAAAUUUAGUUCCGGAAUGAAUUUUAAUAACCCGGAUAGAUUCGGGUCCGGAUCCAGGUUUGGGGUAACCCAUAAAUUCGGAACCCGGACCCGAAUAUCUUUUUUAUAUUAUUUUUAAUUAAAUUUAUUAGUUAAUAUAAAUACAAACUUAAAAAAGAAAACCAUAAUUCUAUCAGCUCUCACUCACAGUCACAGACACAGACACAAACACAUUGAAGUUGUGCCGCCUGCCGCAGGCAAAGUGCCAAAGUCAAACAACCAUCGGCUGGGCUGGGUUCGCCACCGUGACAAGGUCGGGUUCGCCACCGUCACAAGCUUGGGUUCCCCACCGUCGCAAUUCGUUUGGUUCACCACCGUCGAAGGCUUGCAACUCGUCAGCUCCUUUAUUGCUUGGAAAUGAGUAUGAAGAUCCUAUUUCAGCAUGCACUUUGCAAAGUUGAGAGCUGAUUAAUUAUGAGCUUUAUGGGCUUUCUUAGAAAGAAUUAACAUGGCGUGUUUGGGUUAAAAUGGCUAAGAAUUCUUUCAUAGUUUUGAGUUUGAUUUGCUUUAUUCCAACAAUCUUUUUUAAUGUAAGAGAUGGACAAAAGGAAUCAGGUAAAGCAUUUCCAAGAAUGUAACUUAAGAUAUAAUAUUGAUGGAAGAGUUGGGAGUUUGAUGAGUGAGAUUUAUUAUUUGUUUAUGUUUCUUCUUUUUGAUAUCAUUGAAAGUUAUGCUUAGUUAUAUAUGCUCUUUCAGCGGUGUGAUUAGAAAUUUAGAAUUCAUUUGGAUUUUAAUUUUAUUUUUACAUAACAAAUUCUUAGAGGUCUAAUGGUUAUUUUGUGUGUUCUAAGGCCCCGGUCUAUUGUGCACACUACUACAAAAUUGGUCUUUAAUGACGGUUUUAAAAGACAUAAGAUGACGGUUUUAAAACCGUCAUCUUAGGCAGCGACAUUAAAGGGGGUAUAUUUUUUAUGACGGUUCAAAAACCGUCAUUAAAUGACCACUUAUAAUGACGGUUAUUUUAAAAAACCGUCAUUAUAUGCCAUGGAUACAUAAUAUUUAAUGACGGUUUUUUCCUAACAACCGUCAUUAAAUGUGUAUUUAUAAUGACGGUUAUUUUACUAAACAGUCAUUAUUUGUUAUUUAUACUAGAUAUUUAAUGACCGUUUUUAGGAAAGAACCGUCAUUAAAAAUAAACAUUUAAUAACGGUUUUUAGGAAAAACCGUCAUUACAUGUACUUUUUAAUGACGGUUUUUAAGAAAAAACCGUCAUUAAAAAUGAACAUUUAAUGUCGGUUUUUUCCUAAAAACCGUCAUUAAAUGUUUAUUUUUAAAAUUUUUUUAUGAUGAUUUUUUUAAAUACUUGUCAUUAAAUUACUAUUUUUACAUGACGGUUUUAUAUAAAACAGUCAUCUUAUAUCAUGUUUUGCUACUUUUUAUGACUAUUUAUCAAUUUAUAACGAUGGCUUUUAUAGAACCGUCAUAUUUGAUGUUAUCUAAAAAAAAAAUUAUUACAAGCAUGCUUUAAUUGUAAUUUUCUAUUUAACAAAUAUAUUUUUACAAUUACGUUUUUACAAACUAUAUCAUAUACAAAAUAUUGCUUUACAAAAAUCUUAGAUGUAUAAUCCUUCAUACAUCCUCAACAAAAUGUAAUACAUUGAAAUUCUUACAAAUACUCUUCCAAUAUAACAAAAUCAACUACUAACUAAGAAAAUUCUCAUGCUCUUUUGUAGAGAACUUUGACAAUCCUUCAUCUUCAACAAAAUACUAGCUCUUCCACAUGUAAUCUAGCUACCACAUCUAAAUUCUCAUCAAGUCUUCAUAUGUAAUAUUUUCAAAAAAAUUAUGCAGCUGCAAGGGACCUACAACAUUAUUUACAAAGAAAGAAAAAAUAAAUAUAUCAAGCUCAUUUAUUACAAGUUGUAGUUUAAUCAUGAUAAGUUGUAGUAUCUAGUACUAUUAGAGACUGACCUUGAAUUAUCAAUCAAUUAAUUUUCAUAUGUAGCAACAAGUUGCCAUGUAUACCUAGCCCACUCGCAUCUCACCUCGUCAAUCUCCCUUUGAGUGUAGCUUUGUAUCUUAACAAACUAUAAAGUGAAAAAUAUAUAAAUUUUUUUGUGGGGAAAAUAAAUAAAUAUUUGAUAACAAAUUGCCAAUACCUUUUCUGGAAUAGAGACAUUAGUAUUAGCCACAAUAUCCCACAUAUAUUUCAUCACAUAAUAUCCACAAUGCUCAACAUAUUUGGGUUGACGAGGACACUACAAAAGAGAAAGUAAUAGAUUUAAGUUACACAAUGAUCAAAUUCAUGCAAUAAUAAAUUAUAAAUCUCAUAUACAAAAUAUUAUGAAUUUGAAUUUAAGACUAAUGUUCCUUACUUUCAUUGGUUUCCAUAUGCAAUGCUUCCGAUUAAUUUUUCCAUGUGCCGUGCUAAACAUUCUCAAUGAACUUAAUUUCAAAAAUUACAAAGCAUAUAUUAAAAAAUAAUAUAAAGAAAAUACAAGCUAAAAAGUACAAUUUUUUAACAUACCUAUUAAUAAGCUCUUUCAAGUUUUGACGCGGAUCAUGACCAAUUGAAUCAAAAAAAUAACAUUGGCCUUCAUAUGAAUCAAUAACAGUCAACAUCCAAUGUGCUCUGCGUGCAAUAUACUUAUCAUUGUAAAAUUCCAAAUAUCAUAACAAUCUUAUUCACUUUGAAUGUAUAACUUACGAUUCAUUAUAUGGAAAAAUGAUAAGUUGCGUUGGAUCGAUCGAUUCCAUUAUAUCUCCAAGCUUUUUGGCCUUUUCCUCACUGUCAUGGGCACUCCCAUUUGCAAAAAAUUCUGGAUCAACAAACUUGAACCUUUUUUCCAAAUUGCAUCUCUUUAUAUUCUCAAAUAGCAGCCUGUGCAAGACAUAAUACAGAAAUAAUAUACACUCUUACAUCUAUACAUAGCAAUAUUAGAAAUUUGGAAUAACACAUCACCUCAUAUACAAUUUUAUGACACUAACUGAUAUUUGUUCCAUUCUACAAAAUUGUAGAAUAUCAUCCCUACCAAGAAACAUCAUUUCAGUUGUAGAAGCAAACAUAUUUGGAUCAAAAUUGAUUAUAAUGGAUCCGGAGGGGUGCAUCACAUUCUUAGCAAAUGAAAAAAGACUUUUCACAAUUGGAGGCAUACUCGAACUUGCUACAUCUUGAGAAACAAACUUUGAUACCUAAUAUUAAAAAAAAAUCAAUUAAACACAAAAUAAUAAUCUACUUAUUUGAAUAUAUGGCAUAAUGAAAUAAUUUACCUCGUUGUUACUUGUAAUAACAAAUUGUUUAGGCCAAGCCACGAUAGAUCCAAUAGCAUGGCUUACAAGUAUAAGUUCAUCACGAACCGGUCGAGGUAAGAUAGCAUUUUUUUGGAAUGCAACAUCAAUAGACACACGUACAUCAGUAGAUGCAAGUGGUAUGCCAUGCACGGUUGCAUUUGGUUCAUUAUCCAUAAACACCGUUCCUUGAGCCACUAUGUUAAGGUCAUCGCCUAAUGCCAACUUACAAAAAGUCCCCUGUAAUAAAAGGUAAUAAACCAACAAAUAAAUUAUUGAAUAACUUAAUCUUUCAUAAAACAGCUGCAAAAAAUAGACAACAUUGUAGUAAAAUAAAGUUAUGUUAAUAUAACUAUUGUUACUUAUACGUUGUCACAAAAAGUAAGGAUUUUGCUUUUGUUUUGCACGCAAAAUAACAUAACGUUUAGUACAAAACAGCAGCCAAAAUAGCAAUAGAAUGGUGUUGUUUUUUACUGCUCUUUUGUAAAAAGCAACAUUACUCAAAGUAUAAAACAACAACAAAAAUAACAGUAAAAUAAAGGUAUAUUUUUUGUUGUUUUGAAAAAAAACAGCAGCAUGAUUUUUACUACAAGAAACCAGUAAAAUAAAGUUGCUUUUGUUGUUGUUUUACAGCAAAACGACAUGAUUUUUACUACAAAAUGGUAGUAAGAACAACAAUAAAAUAAACAACUAUUUUUGCUACUCCAGACCAACAGUAAGAGCAGUAGUAAUAUAAAGCUAUUUUUGCUGCUGUUUUACAAAAAGUAGCUUGAUUUUCACUACGAAAUAACAACAAAAUAGCAGUAACAUAAAGAUAUCUUCCACUGAUGUUUCGCAGAAAAACAACAUUAUUUUUCUCUUGACAAAACAGCUGCAGAAAUGACAAUAAAAUAAACUAUUUUUACUAUUGUAUCUCCUGUAAAGUUUACUGUAAAAAUAUUAAAAAAUAAUAAACAGUAAAAUGUACCUUUGAUAACCUUGCAAUUGGUGUGGAUUGGUCCUUUGCGACAGGCCUACUCUGAUCUUGUCUUUCGCCUAGAUCUGAACAACUAUCUCGGUCAGAUUGUAGUCGAUUUGGUGGAAAUUGAGAAUCAUUGAAUUCCUUCAUGAAUUCCUUUCUAAAUUCUAUCAUUCUCUGCAUGACAAUCUUAUCCACUUUCUCUUCGACAAUAUUCUCUAUAUCAAUUGCUAUAGAUUUACGUUUCGCCCUUCCAAACUAUGAUGUUAUCGUCACUCCAUCACCAAUAGCUUGUACUCGACCUGGAUGUUCUGGUUUCUCCAAAGCCAUAGUGAGAAUAUCCUCACCCGGUUGAAAUGAAAUUUCUCCAUCAGCAACUUGUUUCUUUAAAUCAGUCUACAAAGACAAAAAAUUCAGGGGGAUAAGAUUAUAUUUACCAUAAUCUUAUGAGUCAAAUACUAUGUAAAAAAUAUAAACUUACUAUUUUCUCAGCCUUUUCUUUAACAUCCUCACUUCUAAAUUCACCAUUCUUUGUUUUUCGAGCUUCAACCCAUAAGUCUUCUCGUGGUACGGGAGCAUAAACACCAGUUGCUCGUUGCUACAAUAAAUUAUGUUGUUAGUUAGUUCACUUAAUGCAACAAAGUUGGAAUAAGAAAUAAGGAAAGUAAGAAUAUUUAAAAAGUAAAUUACAAUUCGUUCUUCUAAGCCAACAUAUCCUCCUCUAGAAAGACCAUGAUUUAGAGUGACUUUGUUACGCCGUUCUGUCUGAGAUUCACUAAGAUUCUGCAUUAUCAAGUUAACCAAAAAACAUCAUACAUUAAGAACAAAAGUUAUGAUACAAUAAAGUAGUUAUAUGAAAAUAUGACACAUAAUAGUAUUUCAUAACCUUAAACUCUACUGAUUUCUUGGACUCAACAAAUUGGUUCCAAUCUUCUUGAGGAAUUGAACCCCAUUCUUGGCCGGUUGGGGGAUGUCUCAAGAGUUCAGGUUCAUCUAUAUGCUCUUUUACAUAUGCUGUGAGCUUAUACUUAAAUGUCUUCCAAGUCUUGUUAAAUUUCAGCAUAAUGAAUCUUUUUCUAUCUUCCCCAACAUCAAAUUUUGCCUUCAUGAAAAUGAUCAUAAUUAAUAAAUUAGAAAUUUAAUUAUUAAAUUAGUAAUUUCUGAAUUAUUUAUGAAAAAAAUUAUAAAUGUUAGCAUAUGUACCGUAACACAUGCCCAUAACUUGUUUUUAACUUCUAUUGGUACUUUUUUCCAAGUUGUAUACAUAAUCGGAACCAAAGAUCGAGACCAAACCCCAACCAUACUACUCAAUUUUGGUCGCAUCUUACCUAUUGGUUGUCCUUUGUAGUUAAAGUUAACAUGGAACUUCUUCCCAUUGCUUGUACCCUUUACAAUUUUAGGCAUCAUGGUUGGACCUCUUUUCUUCCUCUCAUUCGUUCCUAAAGCAUGCGCAUCAUCAUCUUGAGGAAUAUUUGAAGAAUCCAUUUAAGCCUGUAACUUAAACAUGAUUAGUAAACCAUAAAAGAAAUAAUCAAGAAAAUGAUUUCACAAAAAAAUAAUAUGAACAAAAUAUCAUAAAGUUUUCUUUAUAACUAAGUGCUCACAAUCAUAUUUAAAAUAGGCUAAAUUAGGCUCUUCUUUUCUAUCAAAUGAGAGGCAAUCUGCUACUCAAAGCUUGUUGGUUCAUAAAAUGGUCAUAUAAGCCAUCUUCAUCGACAUCAUCCUUUGCAAUAUUUAUAGAAGGCUCUAAAACAAUUGACCAUCUAGGAUCAAGUUGGUCUUCAACAUAGAACACAUGUUUUGCUUGCGAUGCUAGAAUGAAUGGAUCAUUUUUAUGCCCUGUUCUUUGAAGAUCAACUAGAGUAAACCCAAACUUAUCUACUUUGAUACCAUUGCUACUUUUAACCCAAUCACAUCGAAACACUGGAAUUCUAAAUUGAUGGUAGUCCAGCUCCCAUAUCUCUUCAAUAAUGCCAUAGAAAGUCAUAUCCGAAUAGACUGGAUUAUUAGCUUUAGCACUUGAGAUUUGUAAAGCCUUGGCCAUUAAAGUGACCCCACUAUUUUGAACAACUCGUGCAUCAUCCAAUUCCUUUGUGUAAAAUCAGCAAUCAUUUAUGACAUAUCCAGAAUACUUUAUUACUUCUAAACGAGGCCCUUGUGCUAUCCACCUCAGUGAUUCGGAAAUGCCGUGACUUGAACUAUUCAAUUGUUGUUCAACCUUGGUGCAAUAAAAGAACAUAUACUAUCAAAAUUAACCAAACAAAGAAAAAACAAACAUAAUGGAAAUCUUAAUUCAUUAAUCAAUAAGUAAUUACCUUAAGGCGCAACUAGCCAAUAAAUGUUUUACUAUGCUCAUCGUGCAACAAUUUUUCUCUUUUAGACUUUAUGGGGUGUAACUCCUUCAAAUAUUCAAAGUGCUCACUAAUAUAAUAGUUUAGACAUAUUACUUCAUUUUAGAAGAAUAAAAUAAAAUAAAUGAUAGUAAUUGAAAACAUAAUACAAAACACUUACUCGAUAUAAGGUUGAACAUCAUUUGUGUUUGCUAGAACAUAAAGAUGUGCUUGCUGCCAUUGGUGAAAAGGCACAGUCUCAAGUUUACCUCUUAAAAGAGGAUAGCCCAUAUCUGAAUAGUCAUAUGUAGCAUUUUUUCUAGAUGGAAGUCCAACUGCAUCUACACCAGAUAAAUACUCUGAGCAAAACUCAACAGCUUCUUCAGCAAUGUAUGCUUCAGCUAUACAACCCUCUGGUCUAUUACGGUUCCUGACAUACCCCUUUAACUUUUUCAUGUCUCUUUUGAAUGGGUACAUCCAUCGUAAAUAAACCGGCCCACAAAGUUUAACUUCUCGAACAAGAUGUACCAUCAAAUGAACCAUGACAUCAAAAAAGGCUGGAAGAAAAUACAUCUCAAGCGAGCAUACCGUUUCGACUACAUCAGCUUGUAGUUGAUCAAGUGCAGCCACAUUUACAACCUUACUGCACAAUGAAUUGAAAAAAAAACACACUCUCAUUAUAACUUUUUUAACCUGAUCUGGUAGCAAUGCCUUUAUAGCCACGGGCAAUAACUGUUGCAUCAGAACAUGACAAUCAUGAGACUUCAUACCAUACAACUUUAGAUCUUGCAUUGACACACGAUUUCUUAUAUUUGAAGAGUAACCAUCAGGGGCCUUUAUCUCAGAUAAUGUUUUACAAAAUCUAAUUUUCUCUUAUUUACUUAAUGAAAAAGAUGCUGCAGGUAACUUAGUUCUCCCAUUUUCAGUUAUAGGCUCCAAUUCAGUCCGCAUAUUCAAUGGUUUAAGAUCCAUACGAGCUGCAAGUCCAUCUUUUGUUUUUCCUUCUAUCCCAAGCAAUGUACCGACAAUACUCUCACAUACAUUCUUCUCAAUAUGCAUAACAUCAAGCACAUGUCGAACAUAAAGAUACUUCCAGUAUUCAAGGUCAAAAAAUAUAGACUUUUUCUUCCAAUAACUUUGUGAAACUGGACAUUUUCCAUUUUGCUUUCCCCAUGUAACAUUCAACCUAUCCAUUUUUGCUAGAACUUCCUCUCCAUUUAAUGGUUCGGGUGCUAUUUUAUAUUUGGGAAGACCAUUAAAUUCUUUUACCAUAUCACGAUACGGGUGUGAUCGUGAUAAAAAUCUUCUAUGCCUCAUGAAAGAAAUCUUUUUACUAUGCUGUAAUCGAAUAGAACGUGUUUUUUCUCCACAUAUCAGACAAGCUUUAUAGCCCUUUACAGUACAACCAGCUAAGUUUCCAUAAGCCGAAAAAUCACUAAUUGUCCAUAAAAGAAUAGCUUUUAAGUUGAAAGAUUGUUGUCGGUAUGCAUCAUAAACAUCAACUCCCACCUCCCAUAACAAUCUCAGAUCAUCGAUCAAUGGUGCUAAGUACACAUCAAUAUCAUUGCCGGGUUGCUUAGGACCCGAUAUCAACAAGGUUAACAUCAUAAACUUUCUUUUCACGCAUAGCCACGGUGGAAGAUUAUAAGUCACUAGUAUAACUGGCCAACAACUAUACCUGCUACUUAAGGAACUAUGUGGAUUAAUCCCAUCCGCAGAAAGAGCAAGUCUCAGGUUUCUUGGUUCAGAUGCAAAAGCAGGCCAUGUGUAGUCUAUGAGCUUCCAUGAUGGAGUAUCGGCUGGAUGACGUAGAUAACCAUCAACUUGACUUUGUUCUGCAUGCCACGUUAAAUUUUUAGAUGUUUCCUUGAUGCUGAACAUUCUUGUAAACCUAGGAAUUGGUGGAAAAUACCAUAAAACUUUUGCAGGCACACCCGAUUUUAGCUUUUCCGAGUUCUUUAUUACCUUCCACCUAGACAAUCCACAAGUAGGGCAAGAAGUCAAAACUUUGUAAUCCUUCCAAUACAGUAUACAGUCAUUUGGGCAGGCAUGAAUCUUCUCAUAUUCCAUUCCCAAUGCAUUCAAUGUUUUUUUUGCCUCAUACAUAGAUGUCGGGAUUUCAUUUUGGUCUGGAAGCAUCUCUCCUAGUAAUUUAAGUAGCUCAGAGAAACUUUUAUCUGACCAUCCGCUCUUCACUUUCAAGUUGUAUAGUUUUACUAAAGCCGAUAACUUUUUAAAGUUGUUGCAGCCUGGAUAUAGUGGUUUUUCAGCAUCCUCAAGCAAUUUUGGGAAUGCAUCAGGAUUACUUUCAAAAUUAUCAUGUGCCCCUUGAACUAGCUCAAUAGUAUUAUCAACAUGAUCAUAAUCAACUUCUCUUAUAAGCUGUGCAUUUCUACUAGUAGAAGGCCCUCUAACAAGUUCUUCCCCAUGUAGAAACCAAUUUGUAUAACUUUGAUCGAUUCCAAAGAUAAUCAAGUGAGUUUCUAUCUCUGAAAGAUUCUGGUAUUUCACAUUCCCACACUUCAAGCAAGGCCAACGCAUAUGAUUUGGAUUUGUUGUGUGACGAACGGCAAAAUUCAAAAAGCUUUUAACACCGACUCUAUAUUCUUUGGAUCUUCUAUCCAAUGAAAUCAAAGACUUAUCCAUUGUAAACUCAACAACAAUAAAUUGAAGCUUGAAGUUUUAAUUACUACCUCGUAACCAAAUGUGCUUUGAUGUUCCAAUGAGAAAACUGAACCUAUUUAUUUCCAAAAAAUAAAAGGGAAUUAGUUUGGACAUAAGAGCAAACAAGAAAAUAAGUAAACAAAAGAAAAAAGAAAAGGUAGCACUGUAAUUAUUUUGGUGCUGUAUAGCUACUGUAAUUGUGUUAAAACAGCACCUGUAACUUUCAAGUGCUGUUUUUAAUUAACAUCAAACACAUCAUGACAGCACCUACAAAUUUAUUUAAGUGCUGUCCAACUAAUAAAAACACCACUUGAAAGUUUUAGGUGCUUAUUUUAACAGCAAACAGCAGUAGGACAGCACCCAAAGUAAUUUAGGUGUUGUUUAACUGAUAAAACCAGUAACUGAAAGUUCCAUUGCAGUUUUUACAACAAACAGCAGCUUGAAUGCACCUAAAAAACUUUUCAAGUGCUGUUUUUAGCCUUAAACAGCUGCAUGACAGCACCCGAAAAAUUUGUGAGUGUUGUCUAGCUAAUAAAAACAGCAACUGAAAUUUUCAGGUGCUGUUUUUGACAGCAAACAACAAAUUACAGCACCUAGAAUAUUUUAUAAGUGCUACGUAGCUGCUAAAAAUGCGUUAAAAGCAACUGGACAGCAGCAUGACAGAACCUAAAAAUUUUUUGGUGCUAUCCAGCUGAUAAAAACAGCAUUUGGAACUUCCAAGUGUUGUUUUUAACAGCAAAUACCAACAAGACAACACCCAAAAAAAUAUUUAGGUGCUGUCCAGCUGAUAAAAACAGCAUUUAGAACUUCCAGAUGCUGUUUUUAACAGCAAAUACCAGCAAGACAGCACCCAGAAAAAUAUUUAGGUGUUGUCCAGCUGAUAAAAACAGCAUUUGGAACUUUCAGGUGCUGUUUUUAACAGUAAAUACCAGCAAGACAGCACCCAGAAAAAUUUUUAGGUGCUGUCAGCUGAUAAAAACAGCAUUUUGAACUUUCAGGUGCUGUUUUUAACAGCAAAUACCAACAAGACAGCACCCAGAAAAAUAUUUAGGUGCUGUCCAGAUGAUAAAAACAGCAUUUGGAACUUUCAGAUGCUGUUUUUAACAACAAAUACCAGCAAGACAGCACCCAAAAAAUUUUUUAGGUGCUGUCCAUCUGAUAAAAACAGCAUUUUGAACUUCCAGGUGCUGUUUUUAACAGCAAAUACCAGCAAGACAGCACCCAGAAAAAUUUUUAGGUGCCGUCAUGCUGCUGUAAUUGUGUUAAAAUAGCACCUAAAACUUUUCAAUACUGUUUUUUACAACAAAUAGCAGCAUGACACACUGAGAAAAUUUUAUGGAUGCUGUCCAGUUGCUAAAAUCAAUGCUUGGAUUUUCCAUGUGCUAUUUUUAACAGCAUAUAGCAGCAUGACAACCGCAGAAUAAUUUCCCAAUUAUUGUUUUCUUUAUAAAUCAGUGGCAAUCACAGCUUCUAAAAACUUCAGUAUAAGAAAAGAAUAAUUAAAUCCUCUCAAUUGAGUUUGGGAGGAAGGAAUACUUUUAUUACAUCAAAACAAAGUUAAAAAACAACAAAAAAGAUUGAUGUUAUGGCCCUUUUAAGGUUUUCUACCUAUUAUUGCCAGUCAUAGAACUAAAUACUUAACGAAACAGAGUUUUUUGAAUUAAACAUGAAUUUCAUAAAAUCCACACCAUAGAAUUACAUGGCAACGAAAAAGUGUUAAAACAAACUAUAAGAACUGAAACAAACCUUGCAGAUGAUUGAACUCAAUACUGAUAUCAAGCACACCAAAAAUCUCUGAGAGAAGUAGCCAUGUUUAGAGUCAUCCAAUGCUAGGUUACAAAACCAUAAAACCUGCCCAGUCCAAUUAAUGAGAUUUAUAAGUAAUAAAAUGAAAAUACAGAGAGAGAUAGAGAGCAAGAAUGAUUUGGCUCAUAAAUAAGAAAUUUCAAAUUCCUUCCAGUAAUCUGACCUAGGUAGUGAACUGAGGAUGGAUUGGAGCAUUAAAAAUGGGAUUCAACCCGGUGGCUGCUGAGACGGCACAAUAAUCCCAAGGUUGCGAUGGUUAGGAAGUGGGCAACAAUUAAUCUUGGCUAUUCUGGAGAGAAAUGAGCGAGUGAAGGAAUUUGGGUAUUUGGGUAUUUGGGAGAGAUAUUUUGAAGUGAUGAAAUAAAAUGCCAAGUCUAGAAAUCGGCUUUGCUUUUUUUUUUUUGUAUUAUUCAUGACCGUUUAUAAAAUAAACGGUCAUGAAUGAAGAUUAAUAAUUUCCUCUUUAACCACGGUUCCUAAAAUAACCAACAUUAAUACUGGGAUUAUAUUUUAGUGGAUAUAUAAUGACAGUUAAGUUUAAAAACCGUCAUUGUAAGUAUGUAUUUUUAAUGAUGGUUUUUAUAACAAACCGUCAUUAAAAAUAAUAUUAACAUUUAAUGACGGUUUUCAAAUAAAACCGUCAUUGUAACUAUAAAAUAUUUUUAAUGACGGUUUUUACAACGAACCGUCAUUAAAACUAACAUUAUAUUUUAAUUUUACAUUUAAUGACGGUUUUCGAAUAAAACCGUCAUUGUAAGUAUAAAAUAUUUUUAAUGACGGUUUUUAUAAAUAACAGUCAUUAAAAAUUUUAAUUUUACAUUUAAUGACGGUUUUAGAUAAAACCGUCAUUGUCAGUACUAAUAUUUUUAAUGACGGUUUUUAUAACGAACCGUCAUUAAAAAUUUUAAUUUUACAUUUAAUGACGGUUUUCGAAUAAAACCGUCAUUGUCAGUACUAAUAUUUUUAAUGACGGUUUUUAUAAUGAACCAUCAUUAAAAUUAAUAUUAUAUUUUAAUUUUAUAUUUAAUGACGGUUUUUAAAAAAAACCGUCAUUAUAAGUAUUAAAUAUUAUGACGGUUUACAUAAUAAUGGUCAUAAAAAAGUUUUAAUGACGGUUAUUUUUAAGAACCGUCAUAACUUAUGGGUCAUUAAUUUAAAUUUUUGUAGUAGUGGCAGCUGUCUUAGGUUAGAAUUGUUGAAAUUGAUUUAUUGAUCCGAGUUCAAAACCCAGAAUCUGGGAACCCAAAUUUUUCCAAGUUGAACCCGGACCGGACCCGGAUGGAAAAAAACCAAGUUUUAAUCCGGGUCCGAGAGAAAGAAAAUAGCAUCCAGGUCCGGAAUCGGGAAGGCUAAACUCGGACCCAGACCCGGAUUUUGCCAUCCCUAAUCACAAGUACAUUAUUAAUAGUUUGAUAGAUCAAAAUUCUAUCAUGACUCCAUCAUAGUUACAUGAUGAAAUGAUUUUUGUCAUAAAGUCGUUGUCAUUUAUUGCCACUUUUCUUAUAGUGCAAAUUUCCUUAGCACCUAAGGAAAUUCUCUACCAAAACUCACUUCAAAAUCUCACAAUUUUUGGAUACACAAACAAAUGAGAAAUUGCCUUCAAUUUAUAGGGAAAAAUCGGGUGUACUAUUGCACCAACCCCAACAAAAAUUAGGUGCCUACUUUAGCAAUUUGUUUUCAAAUUUGCCUCUCCAAUGUUGAAUGCAUUCAUGUGUAUGCAUGUUGGUCAAUUAAUGCAUUAGUUAAAUUUGAAUGCAUGUAUUUGAAUACUAAUUUUUAAUUUUUCAAUAAUUCUCCAUCUCGACGAAGAUUUUGUCCAAAUCUAAGUUGACUAUCAACAACCCGUCCUCAAGUCUCUGUCUUCUCUGACUGCUUUCAAAUUUGUAAGAUGUUGAUCAAGUUUAGACAAUGCUCAAACUUGAUCGUUGUCUCCACCUUGGUCAAUAUAUCUACGGGAUUCUCCGCAGUCCUGAUUUUCUGAAGAAAAAUCUUCCCCCUCAUCAACAAUUUCCCGCAUAAAGUGCAAUCGUACAUCAAUAUACUUUGUACGUGCAUGAUAAACUUAGUUCUUUGUUAAGUGAAUAGCACUUUGACUGACACAAUACACAUUAAUCUGCUCCUGUACGAAUCCCAAGUUUUCAAGCAAGCCUUGAAACCAAAUAGUUUCUUUAACAGCCUCUGUAAUUGCAAUGUACUUGGCUUCGGUGGUCAUUAGUGCGACUAUAGACUGUAGUGUAGACUUCCAAUUGAUUGGCCCUCUAGCAAAAGUAAAUAUAUAUCUAGUGGUUGACCUUCGUUUGUCCAAAUCACUAGCAUAAUCAAAAUCGACAUACCCGAUCACACAUUGACUAAGUGUAUCGUCUAUCUCAAACAGUAAACCAACUUCAUGGUCUUCUGAAUGUACCGUAGAAUCCAUUUCAUAGCUUGCCAAUGUCCUUUACCAGGAUUAUGUAUAUACCUUCUCACUAUACCAAUUGUAUGUGAAAUGUCAGGCCUUAUACACACCAUUGCAUACAUCAAGCUACCCACUGCAUUUGAGUAUAGAACUUGUAACAUGUAUUCUCGUUCUGCGUCUGUUGAAGGAUAUAGUUGUGCAGAAAGCUUGAAAUGAUAAGCCAACAGGGUACUCACAUUUUUUGUCUGGUUAGUCAUGCCAAACUAUUAUAGUACAUUCUUCAUAUAUUGCUUCUGAGACAAGCUGACUUUGCCACGAGCUCUAUCUCUGCAUAUCUCCAUGCCAAGAAUCUUUUUACCUUCACCUAGAUCUUUCAUCUCAAAUUCUUGAUUGAGUUGAAUCUUUAACUUCUCAAUCUCAUCUUUGUUCGUGGAUGCUAUUAGCAUAUCAUCAACAUACAAGAGCAAAUAUAUGAAGGAUCGCUCUUGUAACUUGCGAAAAUACACACAAUGAUCAAAUUUAUUUCUUGUGUACCUUUGCCCUUUCAUAAAUCGAUUAAAUCGCUUAUACCACUGCCUCAGAGAUUGUUUCAAUCCAUAAAACGACUUUCUCAAUUUGCAAACUCAAUUUUCUUUUCCAGCAACCUUGAAUCCAUCUGGUUAAGUCAUGUAGAUUUCCUCUUCCACAUCACUAUGUAAAAAUGUAGUUUUUACAUCAAGCUGAACUAGUUCAAAAUCAAAUUGCGCAACCAUGGCUAGCAAAAUUUUGAAUAAACGAGUAUUUCAAAACUGGAGAAAAUACCUCAUUGUAGUCUAUUCCUUCAUUCUAAGCAUAACCCUUUGCUACUAAUCUAGUCUUGUAUCGAAUUUCAUUCUCAUAAGAAAAUCCUUCUUUUUUUGCAUAUACCCAUUUGCACCUAAUUACUUUUUUACCCUUAGGCAGUGUAACUAACUCUCAAGUUCCAUUUUUAUAAAGAGGCAGCAUUUCUUCAUCUGUUACUAACUUUCACUGCUUACUUUCAGGGCUACAUAUUGUUUCUCUGUAAGUGAAGGAAUAUCAUUAUUUACAAUUGGAAGUGCAUAGGCCACCAUAUCAACAAAGUGAGCAUGUCUAUGAAUAUCCCUUUGUGGGCUUCUAUAAGCAAUUGAAUCUUAUUACUCUGAAGGUUCUUAGGUCAGAACCUCUUCUUCAUCAUCGGUCGGUGGAGAAUCAUUAUCUAUCUCAUCAACACCAGCUGGAUCAUUUUUUACCUUUUCAAACUCCAUCUGCGGCAAAGUUCUACCGAUCUUGUCAUCCUUUUGAGAAUUUUUUUGUUUCAACAUGGCUGAUUCAUCAAAAAUCACAUCUCUGCUGAAAAUAGUCUUCUUCGUAAUAGGAUACUAUAGACGAUAUCAUUUUACUUCAGCAGUUAUACCCAUGAACAAUAUUUUCUUUGCUCUUGAGUCUAACUUAGAUUCCUUUAUAUGAUAAUAAGCAGUGGAACAAAAACAUGUAAAGAAUUAUAAUCAGUAGCAGGAUUACCAAUUCAUAUUUCCAUAAGAGUUUUUCCCUCAAUUGCAGUUGAUGACAAAUGGUUGAUCAGAUGGCACACAUAAACAACUACCUCAGACCAAAACUCCUUGCUCAAUCCAGCAUUGGACAACAUACAUCGAACUUUCUCUAGUAUAAUCCGGUUCAUGCGUUCUGCCACCCCGUUCUGUUGUUGUGUAUCUCAAACAGUGAAAUGUCGCACAAUACCUUCAUAUUGACAUAUUUGUAAAAAUUAAUCAUUCUUGUAUUCACCACCAUUGUCUUACCCAAGUCUUUUGACCUUUCGACUAGUCUGAGUCUCGACAAUUUUCUUCUACUUCAGAAAUAUGCCCAAAACUUCAUUCUUGUUCUUCAUCAAAUACACCCACACUUUUUUAAAAUAAUCAUCAACAAAAGGAACAAAAUAGUGCAUACCUCUCAAAGAAGUCGUUUUGGUAAGUCCCCACAUAUCACUGUGAACAUAGUCUAUAAUCCCCUUUUGUAUCGUGAAUUGCUGAAUCAAACUUUACCCUUGUCUGCUUGCCCAGAACAUAAUGUUUACAAAAUUGUAAUUUGCAAGAAUUUGUACCUUUCAAUAAGCAUUGCUUCAUCAGAGUCUGCAAAUUUUUUUCACUAACAUGUCCUAAACGCAUAUGUCAUAAUUUGGUUGCUUCUGAAUCUACAUUUUUUCAAGAAACUAUUGAUACUGAUCCAAUAACUGUACUUCCUUGGAAAUAGUACAAGUUAUUUCUUCUUGUGUCUUUCAUCAUUAUGAGCGCCCCAGCUACUACCUUCAACAAUCCAUCUCUUAAAGUGAUUGUGAGCCAUUUAGAUUCUAGGACUCGUAAUGAAAUGACAUUUUUCUUCAAGCUUGGUACAUAGCAAACAUCCAUCAAGACUUUGAUUGAGCUAUCAAGAUUUUUUAAUUGGAUUGUACCUAUUCCCAUGGUUUUACAUGUAUUGUCAUUGCCCAUAAAAAUAAUUCCACCUUUUAACUUUUUGAAGCAAAAAAACCAGCCUCUGUUGGGACACAUAUGAUAAGUACAGAUCGAAUCCAAAAUCCACUCAUCUCUGUGAUCCUUUCUGUCUUUCUUUCUGGUCUCAGAGUUGUGCAACGCACUGCAUACAACAUCAAAUGUGAUAUUAUCCUUCCCAUGAAGCAAAGUAGUAGUGAGAUGAUCAUAUUCAUCAGGAAAGGAAUUUAACAACAACAGUAUCGUAUCUUUAUCUUCAAAUUUCUCAUCCAAAUUUAGCAAAUCCGUCAAUAUCUUGUUGAAUGAGUUCACAUGAUCAUUUAUUGACAUUCUAGGUAUAUAUGUGAAUCGAUAGAGUUUCUUCUUCAUAUAAAGCCUAUUUUCAAGGCUUUUCUUCAUAUACUUUUCUUCCAGUGCCUCCCACAAUUUCUUUGUUGAUGUCUCCCUCAUGAUAGAAUACUUCUGAUCUUUAGCCAGACAUAAGUGAAUUGUACCAUAUGUUUGUCUAUUAAUCUUUAUUCACUCUUUGUCAUCCAUUUUGUCAAAUGUUUCUUCAAGAGCAACAUCCAACUCUUCUUAACAUAAGAUAUCCAACACCUCACAUUGCCAUAUACCAAAAUUAUUGGUACCAUCGAAUUUCUCCACUUCAAACUUUGCAUUAGUCACAGCAGUCUUCACUGAUGAAGGUGACGAGGAUGCCUCUACCAUCCUUCUUAAUUCAAAUGAUCAGUGCCUUCAACAACUAUUUACACUUGGAAAAUAGUCUCUAUAAUGUUUAUUUCGCGUGAAUAAAUGAACUAACAAAGUUCCGAGGAGAAUGGAGAGGUCAUAACGGUUCCACUUAAAAUCCAAACUCCUUAGGCUCUUAUCGCCUUGUUGACAAAACUUUCCUAGACAUACAAAAAUAUACACUACUUGCAAUAGACUGUCCUCCAAGUAUAAAGGGUUGUCUCCACUGUAUUAAUGAAUAGUAUCAUAUACGUGAACAAUACCAUAUCUAUAAACAACUCCGUAUACGUGAACAAUGUCGUAUGCCCCAAGCACAAACAUUCGGCUUUGAUACCAAUUGUUGCGGAAGCACGAGAUUGAGCAAUUACUCAUAUUACAGCGAUUGUAACUUUUGGAGAAUAUAAAUGUGGUGUAAAAAAAUGUAAAGAAAGUAGGACACGAUAAUUUUUACGUGGUUCGGCGUAAAGCCUACAUCCACGGGCGAAAACUGUAAGAUAAUUUUACUAAUAAUGAGACUUUACAAAAGUGGAAAAACUCUCAAAAAAUUUCUUUACCAAAACUCACUUGGAAAUCUCACAAUUUUUGGAUGCACAAACAAAUAAGGAAUUGCCUUCUAUUUAUAAGGAAAAACGGGGUGCACUACUGCACCAACCCCAACAAAUUUGUCAACAAAAUUAGGUGCCUACCUUUAGCAAUUUGUCUUCAAAUUUGCUCCAAUGUUGAAUGCAUGCAUGUGUAUGCAAGUUGGUCAAUUGAUACAUUAGCCAAAUUUGAAUGCAUGUAUUUGAAUUCUAAUUUUGAAUUUUUUCAACAAAUUCUUGUAAAUUUCAGUUGUAUUGUCAAACUGGAUUAUGUUUAUAACAUAACAGUCUCCUUCCAAAUCCAGCUGGGUGUAUAAUGUUAACCGAGGAAAACCAUUUACAAGAACGGUUAACUUGUCCUUCUAGCUCAUCUUAUUGUUAGUUUAUUGCCUUGAGUGCUUGACAUGUAGGCUUUUAAAUGUGCUACUAGAUGGUCACGCCAGAUAAGGAAUUAUUGAUUUGAUGUUCUUGUUGUACUAUAUUCAUACCAAAUCGGGCUUUGAUGCUAUUAUAUAUUUAGUUAUUACCUUACAUGAAUUAAUGAUGUUGCCCACUUAUUAAAGGAGUUUUAAUUUUUUAUCAUUUAUGUUGCCUUAUUUUGCUGGGUAAUACUGCACUUAGGGUACGUUAGUAGCCACAUUAACUGGUAUGAAUCAUAAUGCACCAUUCUUUCAGAUGCUCAUAGUUAGCAGUUUUUUGUUACCAGUAGCAUUUUGUAAAAGAAAGAUACAAUUGACUAUUCAAAAAUAUCAUUAUAUAUAUAUAUUGGUUACGUUUUACAUUUAUGUUGUGGUACAUUAUAAAUGCAUCAUUUAAUUUUUAAUAGCAUAACACUUUUUUAUCCUCUUUUUGUCUCAAAUGCGUAGUCAUUGAUAAAACCUAAAAACAUAUUUCUUUAUCCUCUUGCAACUAUCCAUGCCGCCAUAGUAAUUAAAAACUAACAUCUGUGAAUUAUUAAUUAGAGCCAACAUUGAAUUGCGAGAACAUGAACUUUAUUAAUUGAAAUUUGUAUCUUGUUACUUUAAUUUUUUUUUUCCUUCAAUUCAACUUCAUAUUCAAUGUAAAGUUUUUAUAUGGAUUACUCAUUAAUUUUUUUUAGUUUCUAAGUUUCCAAUCUCUUCUUCUAUUUAGGGAAAUAAAAUUUCUCAGUAUUGAAAUGAAUCUACUUUUGUGGUAUUCCAUUUAAAGCUCAUAUGUCAAGUCUAAAGCAAGUAUAUAUAUGUUGAGCUCUUUUGGAAUGACUUGAACACUUCAACAAGAUCAGCAUCUUAAGUGCUAUGCAUGAUAUAGAAUAAUAUAACACUUAUAUGCUAAUUUAAAAUUAAAAAUCAAUAUUUACCGACAACUUGUAAGUUACUUGCUAUAUUUUAAUUAAUUAUUUAUUUAUCCAUUAUACUAAAUGGUGAUUGAGAUUAAAAAAUUUAGAUCAAGGGUUCACAAUAACCCCAUUAUCAAUGCUCUAAAAAUACAUAUAGCAUCGUAGAGAAAUCCUUAAACGAAAUAAAUAAUCACAUGUAGAGCUGGCCAAUGGGCAGAGUGGCAUGUGGCACAGCAUGAACACGGCACGUGUAUGUACAGCACAGCAUAGCAUGAAUACAUUUUGGUAGGGCACAUGGCACGACAUGGCAUGGCAGAAUAUGCACACAAGCUGGGCUGAGUUGAGAAUUUUAGGCAAGUGGGCCCUAAAAGCACAACACAAUUAGAAAUAGAUUAAAGCAUGGCAUGUGAAAGGUUCCGCAAUAAGCACAUUUCACUUUUUAAUGAAAAUAAAUUUAAAUUUUUUAUUUUACAAAAUAACUUAAAAUUGAAUCUUUUAA